This 465-nucleotide ribosomal RNA is filed under the name uncultured bacterium. Its description in RNAcentral is "partial 16S ribosomal RNA". It matches the Rfam family "Bacterial small subunit ribosomal RNA", at positions 338 to 795 of the family's 1533-position model. The record is from RNAcentral.
CCUACGGGAGGCAGCAGUGGGGAAUUUUGCGCAAUGCUCGUAAGAGUGACGCAGCGACGCCGCGUGAAUGACGAAGGCCUUCGGGUCGUAAAGUUCUUUCGACAGGGAAGAAAAUGCCUAUAAGUAACUGUGUAUGUAUUGACGGUACCUGUAUACGCAGCCCCGGCUAAAUCCGUGCCAGCAGCCGCGGUAAUACGGAGGGGGCGAGCGUUGUUCGGAGUGACUGGGCGUAAAGAGCACGUAGGCGGUGUUGUAAGUCAUUAGUCAAAGACUAGAGCUCAACUUUAGUAAGGCUAGUGAUACUAUCAUACUUGAGUAUCAGAGAGGAGUGCAGAAUUCCUGGUGUAGCGGUGAAAUGCGUAGAUAUCAGGAGGAAUACCGGUAGCGAAGGCGGAAAACUGGCUGGAAACUGACGCUGAGGUGCGAAAGCGUGGGUAGCAAACAGGAUUAGAUACCCUUGUAGUC